UACCCGCUGAACUUAAGCAUAUCAAUAAGCGGAGGAAAAGAAACCAACCGGGAUUACCUCAGUAACGGCGAGUGAAGCGGUAACAGCUCAAAUUUGAAAUCUGGCUCUUCCGGAGUCCGAGUUGUAAUUUGUAGAAGAUGCUUUGGGAGGUAGGGCCGGCCUAAGUUCCUUGGAACAGGACAUCAGAGAGGGUGAGAAUCCCGUAUGUGGCCGUGGCCUACGCCCGUGUAAAGCUCUUUCGACGAGUCGAGUUGUUUGGGAAUGCAGCUCAAAAUGGGUGGUAAAUUUCAUCUAAAGCUAAAUAUUGGCCAGAGACCGAUAGCGCACAAGUAGAGUGAUCGAAAGAUGAAAAGCACUUUGGAAAGAGAGUUAAACAGUACGUGAAAUUGUUGAAAGGGAAGCGCUUGCAACCAGACUUGGGCGUCGUCGAUCAUCCGGGGUUCUCCUCGGUGCACUCGACGAGGCACAGGCCAGCAUCGGUUUGGAUGGUUGGAGAAAGGCCCUAGGAACGUAGCUCUCUUCGGGGAGUGUUAUAGCCUAGAGCGCAAUGCAGCCCAUCCGGACCGAGGACCGCGCCUUUGGCUAGGAUGCUGGCGUAAUGGUUGCAAGCGACCCGUCUUGAAACACGGACCAAGGA
This 637-nucleotide ribosomal RNA is filed under the name Golovinomyces cichoracearum. RNAcentral's name for it is "eukaryotic LSU rRNA". It matches the Rfam family "Eukaryotic large subunit ribosomal RNA", at positions 22 to 672 of the family's 3401-position model. Lineage: Eukaryota; Fungi; Ascomycota; Leotiomycetes; Helotiales; Erysiphaceae. The record is from RNAcentral.